UUGUGAGAAAGACUGUAACACUGGCGUUUGUGCUAGCCACUUUUGUGCGGAUGGCAUGGGGCCUACUGAAGGCUACUGCACCCCAGGUGCCAGGGGUGGGGGCUUUUGUAGUCUACUUCGAAAACAUGUGGAUGUAUGGGCAGUACCCUCCGUUAACAUUGAACCAACAGGGAAACCUUGGUGCAUGGACAAAUAAUGCAAUGGAAUCGUGGCAGCAUACAUACAUUGAGUUUUGCAGCAGUUACCUGUCUUCACAAACACAAGCAGCUGUACGUAACAAUGUUCCCUCCCAGCCUCUGUGUACCUCUAUAGGAGUCCCACAGAGCUCAGUUCACUUGUUACAUCCCAAACUGAGAUUGACGAGGGAGAAGGAUUUAGACAACUCCAAUCUUAGGAAGAUCAGUAAUGUAUAUGGUCACAAGUCUGCAGCAUUUCAAGGAGAAGAUAUGGGAUUCUGUAGACACAAAUAGAGUGCAUAAUAUUAAACCUGCCC
Molecule: long non-coding RNA, 493 nt
Organism: Ornithodoros turicata
Lineage: Eukaryota; Metazoa; Arthropoda; Arachnida; Ixodida; Argasidae
Exons: 3
Source: RefSeq, a predicted model, not a curated record